CAACCUUCCCAACCACAUACACCAUAUUUUCUCUUCGGCCUUGCUGCGUGUGAUAGUGCGUCGUGCUGUGCAUUUUCCAUCAAAAAAGUUAUUGAAAACGCACCAUUUUGCUACAAAUUUUCCCUAUUUUGGAAACUCACGUCACGCACUACAUCAGGUGAACGCAUCUCGCACCAACACCACACCCUCCCCAAAACCCACUUUUCGCGGCUAGCUGUUGUAUAAUAUAAAAUCCGUCACGCUGGAUAAGAUGGCGCGUUACCGUGAGUGGGACCUGCAGUGCAAGGUUUACGUGGGCAAUUUGGGCUCGUCGGCGUCGAAGCACGAGAUCGAAAGUGCGUUCGGCAAGUAUGGCCCGCUGCGGAACGUCUGGGUGGCACGCAAUCCUCCCGGUUUCGCCUUCGUAGAGUUCGAGGAUAAGCGUGAUGCGGAGGACGCAGUUCGCUCGCUGGAUGGAACACGAUGCUGCGGAACGCGUAUCCGGGUGGAGAUGUCUUCUGGCCGCUCGCGACGCGACGAACGCACCCGCCGACCCCGCCGCUCGUACAGGGCAAACUCUUCUAUGAUACUACUACUACUACUACUACUCCACGACAGCGUCUUCCGCCACAGAACAUCAUCUUGUCCAAAUUUUGCUAGUAGCGCUACUAGUGUUAAGUCUACUACCGCAACCACCACCACCACCACCACCACCAUCAAUUCCACCAAUUUUACCACCACCAUCACAACCACCAAAAAUACAACCACCACCACCACCACUACUACUACUUCUACUACUACUUCCACCACCAACAAUACUUCUACUGCGAGCAAGAGCUCCGGCCGGUGCGGCUCAAUCUCUUCUAGACCCGAUCAUUCGUUUUCCGGCGACCAACACCACCACCACCACCAUUACUACUGCUACUACUUCUACCAUUACUACUACUGCUACCACUCCUGCCGCUACUGCGUGCAUGCGCACGUGCUUCUUCCUGUACUUCCGCAAGCGCCCGUCGCCGCAACACCACUACUGGCAGCAGUGGCAGCAGCAGCAACAGCAGAAGCAGCAGCAGCAACAACAGCGGCAGCGACAGCACUGCGCUUCCUCUUGCAGCGGGCUUCAGCAACGGCAGCGGCCCUCCAAUCUGACGGCCUACAGUUCUGCAGUUUGCUUCCCCUUCUACUGCUACUACUACUACCACUGCUACUACCACCACCACCACAACAACAACUACUACCUCUACUGCUACUAGUUCAUCAUCUUCCUCCACAUCCUCUCCAUCAUCGGCUGGACAGUAGCGACGGUCGCCUGAGCAGCACCACCACGCCCCGUUCUUCUUCGCCGCGACACGUGCCGCCUUCAUCCAGUGCCCGCGCCUCGUCCCCCGUGGUGAACACAGGCCCCACUUUGGUAUCGUCAACCCUUGACGAGCAGAAGGCAUCAUCGAACACACACACUCUUUGCCACCUUGGCCGACCAGUUGGUGUCUUGAUUUUCCCCCACCGACUGCUGCCCCGUGCCCAAAACUGUGAACGUUGAGUAUGAUGCGCCUCUAACUGGCUGCUUGCAGAAGAACGGAUCAGCAGAUCACACACUCAGGUCUCCCGUUCCGGCACUCAUCCAACUACCUUCUUCUCCACCGUUUGAUGCGGUGUUCUUGGGAGGGGAAGAGUGCGCUCAACGUAACAUGGAGGUCCUCGAUCUUCAGCGCCAUCUCACACACAUUGACACACAGACACGCACAGUAUGAUGGGCCGCUUGCUCGAAUCGCGCGUCUAUCCUCUCGUUCUCCCUGCAUCCUGCGACUCUUCUGGUAAGCCGAAGGUCACCGGAGCAGGAGUGGAUGAAGCCAACGCGAAGUCAUCGCAACAAACCGCCAACCAGCCAGCCAAACCACCCCGCCGAUGGCUUCCGCUCAUCCCCUCCCGCUCCGGCCAAGCUUGGCGCGAGUCUCCGGAUUCUUUCUCUGUUUUUUUUUCUUUUCUUUUUUUCUGUAUCUCUUUCCCAGUGAGAUCGCUUCAGUUCGCGUUUGUGCUUCGGCCAUCACGCUGUUUUUCGGCGCAGCUUGUAUUGCUGUGCGCACUGCCAAAGAACCAACCUGUCGUCGCUCUGUCCCCAUCUUUGGGGUGGGGCGCCCAUCAACCCACGCGAACACACACACAACUUGCCAUCAUCUCAUCCUUGAGCUUCGGCUGCGCGCUACUAUGCUACGGGGUGUGGGGAGCUUUACUGCGCCGAUCCUUUUGCACCGCCGCCUGCCAACUUUAUCAUCACCACCGACCAUACUCCACCGAUCCUCUUCUCUACUGUACUUCUAUGUACUACCUACUACUACUACUACUGCCAACACUUCUUUGCUACUACUACUACCACCACUACUGCUACUUGUCCUGCACCAUCAUCGUCAUCAAAUGGGCGACGUCUUUUUGCAAAACGGGUUAAAGCUGCAAAGAACACGUUCUCGACGAUGUUGUUCGUCGUGGUUUCUGCCGUGCUGCUCGACCUCUUCCAGCGCAACCUCUUCACGCCGUAAAGGCUGCUUUCUUCUACUGCUAGCUCACCAUAAUUGCUACGGUGCUGUGCUGCCUAUUUUGGUGUAUUUUAUGAACCAUCAUACCACCACCACCAACAACAACACCACCGGGAUGGACUUUAUUAUCCCUCGGGCUCUUCUUGUUGCGACCAUCUUGGACCACUUCUUGGCAUGAUACGGCUUUGCGCAUCGCUCGGUGAGCUUCGUCGUCGUGCAUCACAUCACCGUUUUGUGUGCAGUUAAUUCCCCAACGGCGAGCAGCAACAGCAGCGAUAGCAAACAGGCCCCAUAUUAAUAGUUCCCACUCCGCUAGUUUUAACGCUAUUGAACCAUCGCAACUGUAAGUGAACUGAAACCAUUAUUCCUUUUCAAAAACACCAGAAUUCAUUACUGUGUGAUGUGCGUAAAUAAUGUAUCUUUAGAUCUUAGGCGGGAGAACCCAUCGCUACUGUGGUUUGCCCACUACUCUCGUUCAAGCUCUUCCUUCCCUUCGACACAACGUCACCAACCAACCAACCUACCAACCAGCCAACACACGACCCAAUCAAGCAUCACUCUCUCUCUGCCUCUUUCACCAUCUGCCACGUUGACUGUGCUACUAUUAUUACUACAACGACAACAUAACAUCAUCUUCAUCCAUCUUCAUUCGACUGGCUGUGCUAAGCGACAAGCAAUUCUCUCUACCGACUUGACCGACUUGAACAAAUGGACAUCCCUAUGGGAAAGGAUCUUCUCUUACUCGCCGUGGCUCCACAAGUCUCUCUAUAAAAAUCAACUAAACAACAAUCGUGCGUUCCAACACACAAAGAAACAACACGUGGCCAACACACCUUCGGUAAAAUCAUCCACCACCACCACCACCAAUCCUCUCCCCGUACGCUGCUCGUGUGUAGCAUCUUUACACUGUCUUCAGCCCACCACCACCAGCCCGUGAACUCCUCGCCUCUUCUUCCUCAACGGUGGCUGUACGCAGCACACGUGCGCAACAGAAAGAAUCCAAACGCAACUGAGAAGAUCACGCCCAACAGUUCUUAAAAUUGGAUCGAAAAUCAAAAAUCAAAGCUUCUUCCUCUUCACCACCACCACCACCACUACAACACCAACCACCAAAAAACCACAUCCACCACCACCACCAUCUUAAAAAUGCUCCACAACGUGUGUGUGUUUGCGCUCGAUCGCUCGCUCGCUUUCUCUUCUCAUCUCUUCUUCCGUUUCCGGAAAAGGUAGGAUGUAUCACGCAGCCGCAGCAUGAGCCGUGAGCGCGAUCGCGACCGUCGCAGCCGCAGUGGAUCUCGCGACCGGCGCUAAACACGGGAAGGAGAGAGGGACGCUUCUUUUUGGGGGAUGUGAGACACGCAAACGAUGAGAUCAGCACCCAGGACAGGAAAUAACCAACAAGAUGAAGAAGCAAGCAGAUGCAGAGAGCAAACGUGUGUGUGUAUGUGUAAAAUGCAAAAUGCAAACGAAAGUGGUGUUUUUGAAUAGGAUUAAAACACACACACACACACACUCUCAACCCAACGAGAGAGCCCUCAACGACCGCGUGCAGAACUGUCCCCCAGCCACCCCCUACACCACCACCACCACCAUCCCAGAACCACCACAACCCCCAAACAAGAAAUGGACUACCAAACACAUGUGGCUGCACGCGUGAGUGUUCUCUUGUUUUCAUUACUUUUAUUAAGUAAUCUGUAUUAGCUGGUAAGCAGACUAUAAGAAUUUUACAAUAGACUACCCGAGAAACUUGCUGAGGAAAAUUUGAAUUAUGAAUAGUUUUACACACACACAAACGUAUAUCGACAUCGAUCGAACAGAGGAGAAAAGGACAUACAAACAAUUGCAUUGCAAAAUGAGAGAGAGCAAAUACCUUCUUGAUGAAGGUAAGAGAAGAGUAUUCGACGACACAAACACGCAGUAGGACGCGCGGAUCAGAGAAGGCCAAGGGGGCCUACCUUUCAACGACACAGCAAAGUUGUGAGUGGCGACAGUACAUACGAGUGAACCACAAAAAGUAUUUGAUACAAUUUCACCCCUCCCCUUUUACCACACUCCCGUGGGGUGUGUGUGUGUGUGCGCGCGAGUGAUACGUUAAAUCUCGAAACGUUCUUGUAUAUUUUCUCCAACGCAAUCAACUUUUUUUUUGCUUUGCUGCAAUAGUCAAGCGAAAAAAGCUCGCUAUCGUCAAUGGUGGACGUAUAUUUGUUUACUCCAUAUUUCACACACAUACACAUUUUGAACGUCCUGGCUCCCUCUCCAAUACACUUGCCGUUUCCUCUCAAAUCCUUUAAGUGUAGAGUAAGACAUCAAAGCAGGCUAGAAAAUGAUGGUGGCGCGCACGUGCUCUGCGCCAUCAUCGUAGUAACUUUCGGUUUGAGUAUUUUCUCCUCCCCUCUCUUCACACAAAUAUGGUUUUAUUUUUGGCAUUGGAUAUAUGGCAAAUGGCAUUGGAUUGUUGUAGCGUGUGUGUGUCUGUCUCUCGGUUUUGUAUUAUAAAGAAGGUGACUCUCACUCUCCCAUACCUAGGUAAGCUUCUUUGGGGCGCUUUUCUUUGCCAAAACGCGUGCGUGUAUUAUGCUGCUGCGUGUAGCAUCUUAUUUCUGUUUUCCUCCUUAAAGUAAUACAUACUUAGUGAAUAGAAUCUUAAAGUAUAUAACGAAUAAUAAAUGAAGCAGUCGACGACGGUGCACGAAGUACA
Anopheles arabiensis is the source of this 5208-nucleotide RNA transcript. It is a transcript of the gene named RNA-binding protein 1-like, with no coding region annotated. Lineage: Eukaryota; Metazoa; Arthropoda; Insecta; Diptera; Culicidae. The record is from RefSeq and is a predicted model, not a curated record. The transcript is spliced from 5 exons.